UUGUAUUAAACUAAACAGAUAAAAAUGAAUGGAUGAUAACUUCUCAGCUAUAUCAAAGUGAACAGUUAUGUGUAGUUUUUAAAUUUCUUUAGUUUUCAUCCUUACUAGAAGAUGAAUAGCUUUUAUGAUUUUGUUUUUAGCACCCAUGUGCUCUUUUAAUAUAAUUUUUUGCUUAUAAAAAAAAUUAGAUACGAGGGGCCAACAAGUUUGUUUAUUCCCAUGUAAUCAUGAACAAGGCACACUUUAGAAUUUUCUUCAUUUUGCUUAUUUUCUUUCCUUCUUGUAUGUGAUCUUAUGAAUGAUAUAACAACAUAUAUAUAAUCAUUAAUGUAUUUACACAUAUUAACGUCAAAAUUAUCUAUUUAGUGUUAUGUUUAUGGAAUAUAUGCAAGAUAUAUAUUCCAUGAGCCAAACAUGAGUUCUAUAGUAAAUUCAUUGAAACUAGUAUGGUAACCGAAGGAACAUAUAACUCCAAAAUGAAUUUAAAGGCCAAGUUUUCAACAACAACAAAACAAUUUCAUAGACCCUUCAAUUUCUAUAUAUAGAUAACACAAUGUUAGUUUGUUUAUUAACGUGUUAAUAGAUCUAUAAGUGAAGAUUGUAGUGAGUAUAAAUCAUGAACAAGUUUUUAUUCAUUUGUCUUAUUCUCCUUGCUACUGAGAUGGUGGUACAAAUCGAUGGAACACGUUGUGAAUCAGAGAGUUUUCAGUUUCAAGGAAUUUGUUUUAGUGAUCGCAGUUGUGCUAGAGUUUGUAAUAAUGAAGGUUAUAUUGCAGGUGGUAAAUGCAGAGGAUUCUUCAGUCAUUGCUAUUGCAAAAGGAGUUGUUAACAUAAGUUGGCGCUAGCUCUUGUGUUUUUUGUCGUCUUUAUAAUAAUUUGUAUUUUGUGUUAUCUUUGCUUUGCUUGCUUAGGUGCACUAGGCCGACUUGGACCUAGGAAAUACUAUUGUUGUUAUUGUUUGUUGAUGUUCAUCUGAAAAGUAGAAAAUUUUUGCACCAUUUUCA
Molecule: long non-coding RNA, 1004 nt
Organism: Vicia villosa (hairy vetch)
Lineage: Eukaryota; Viridiplantae; Streptophyta; Magnoliopsida; Fabales; Fabaceae
Exons: 2
Source: RefSeq, a predicted model, not a curated record